UGCAAUGAUGUUGUAAUUUGCGUCCUACUCUGUUUUCAGUGACAGUUGCCUGCUGUCAGAUGCUGAUUCAGAAGGUUGAUGAAAAUUCAUACUGAGCA
Small nucleolar RNA from Phodopus roborovskii (desert hamster), 98 nucleotides. RefSeq annotates it as small nucleolar RNA SNORD16. Lineage: Eukaryota; Metazoa; Chordata; Mammalia; Rodentia; Cricetidae. The transcript has a single exon. The record is from RefSeq and is a predicted model, not a curated record.